AACGAACGCUGGCGGCAGGCCUAACACAUGCAAGUCGAGCGGCCUUUCGGGGGAGUGGCGGGCGGGUGGGUAACGAGUAGGAAGAUGCCCAUCUCUACGGAAUGGCCUCGGGAAACAGAGAGUAAUAACGAAUGCGUCCGGUGGGGGGAAGAAUUAUCGGGGGAGGAUUAGCCCGCGUUGGAUUAGGUAGUUGGUGGGGUAAUGGCCUACCAAGCCGACGAUCCAUAGCUGGUUUGAGAGGAUGAACGGCCACACUGGGACUGAGACACGGCCCAGACUCCUACGGGAGGCAGCAGUGGGGAAUCUUAGACAAUGGGCGCAACCCUGAUCUAGCCAUGCCGCGUGAGUGAUGAAGGCCUUAGGGUUGUAAAGCUCUUUCAGCUGGGAAGAUAAUGACGGUACCAGCAGAAGAAGCCCCGGCUAACUCCGUG
RNAcentral lists this ribosomal RNA (431 nucleotides) under uncultured bacterium. RNAcentral describes it as "partial 16S ribosomal RNA". It matches the Rfam family "Bacterial small subunit ribosomal RNA", at positions 29 to 507 of the family's 1533-position model. The record is from RNAcentral.